GGGUUGUGAGGUUAAGCGACUAAGCGUACACGGUGGAUGCCCUGGCAGUCAGAGGCGAUGAAGGACGUGCUAAUCUGCGAUAAGCGUCGGUAAGGUGAUAUGAACCGUUAUAACCGGCGAUUUCCGAAUGGGGAAACCCAGUGUGUUUCGACACACUAUCAUUAACUGAAUCCAUAGGUUAAUGAGGCGAACCGGGGGAACUGAAACAUCUAAGUACCCCGAGGAAAAGAAAUCAACCGAGAUUCCCCCAGUAGCGGCGAGCGAACGGGGAGCAGCCCAGAGCCUGAAUCAGUGUGUGUGUUAGUGGAAGCGUCUGGAAAGGCGCGCGAUACAGGGUGACAGCCCCGUACACAAAAAUGCACAUGCUGUGAGCUCGAUGAGUAGGG
RNAcentral lists this ribosomal RNA (386 nucleotides) under Escherichia coli. RNAcentral's name for it is "partial 23S ribosomal RNA". It matches the Rfam family "Bacterial large subunit ribosomal RNA", at positions 1 to 417 of the family's 2925-position model. Lineage: Bacteria; Pseudomonadati; Pseudomonadota; Gammaproteobacteria; Enterobacterales; Enterobacteriaceae. The record is from RNAcentral.